This 465-nucleotide ribosomal RNA is filed under the name Vreelandella stevensii. RNAcentral's name for it is "partial 16S ribosomal RNA". It matches the Rfam family "Bacterial small subunit ribosomal RNA", at positions 338 to 795 of the family's 1533-position model. Lineage: Bacteria; Pseudomonadati; Pseudomonadota; Gammaproteobacteria; Oceanospirillales; Halomonadaceae. The record is from RNAcentral.
CCUACGGGUGGCUGCAGUGGGGAAUAUUGGACAAUGGGCGAAAGCCUGAUCCAGCCAUGCCGCGUGUGUGAAGAAGGCCUUCGGGUUGUAAAGCACUUUCAGUGGGGAAGAAAGCCUUGGGGCUAAUACCCUCGAGGAAGGACAUCACCCACAGAAGAAGCACCGGCUAACUCCGUGCCAGCAGCCGCGGUAAUACGGAGGGUGCGAGCGUUAAUCGGAAUUACUGGGCGUAAAGCGCGCGUAGGCGGUCUGAUAAGCCGGUUGUGAAAGCCCCGGGCUCAACCUGGGAACGGCAUCCGGAACUGUCAGGCUAGAGUGCAGGAGAGGAAGGUAGAAUUCCCGGUGUAGCGGUGAAAUGCGUAGAGAUCGGGAGGAAUACCAGUGGCGAAGGCGGCCUUCUGGACUGACACUGACGCUGAGGUGCGAAAGCGUGGGUAGCAAACAGGAUUAGAUACCCGUGUAUUC